UACGGAGGGUGCAAGCGUUGCCCGGAAUCACUGGGCGUAAAGGGCGCGUAGGCGGCUCGGUAAGUAGGGGGUGAAAUCCUGCGGCUUAACCGCAGGGCUGCCUUCUAAACUGUCGAGCUUGAGCACGGUAGAGGCAGAUGGAAUUCCCGGUGUAGCGGUGGAAUGCGUAGAGAUCGGGAAGAACAUCAGUGGCGAAGGCGGUCUGCUGGGCCGUUGCUGACGCUGAGGCGCGACAGCGUGGGGGAGCAAAC
Molecule: ribosomal RNA, 251 nt
Filed under: uncultured bacterium
Lineage: Bacteria
Description: partial 16S ribosomal RNA
Rfam family: Bacterial small subunit ribosomal RNA
Source: RNAcentral